RNAcentral lists this transfer RNA (71 nucleotides) under Actinocatenispora comari. RNAcentral describes it as "tRNA-Ser". Lineage: Bacteria; Bacillati; Actinomycetota; Actinomycetes; Micromonosporales; Micromonosporaceae. The record is from RNAcentral.
UCGGCGACCGGUACGGGCACCGGCGGCUGCUGGUCGCCGGAGUCCUCGGUUUCGGCGCCGCGUCGGCGGGC